GUACUCGGGGCAAAAGGAUGUUACACACACUCUAUAAACUGCAGCCCGCAGAUGGUGCGGUAGUGCUCCCAAUGAGAGGUGAUGGCUGAUGGAAAAGCCUGGCCGAAGUGUCUCAGGAAUGCUCUUGACUUCGGCUGUGCUCAGGAAGUGUUUGCUUUCUAGAAAUCCCAAAUCCUGGACCUUCCGCUCCUGGAGCAGAGCAGGAAGGAAGGAAGAGGAGAGGAAGGGAAGGAAGGUUUCAUUCAGAACUGCUUUGAAUGAAAACCACAUGUGCAAUGUGUGCAAGAGGGAUGUGACCAAGCCAGAGCCUUAGAAAAGCCAUAGCUAUACAAGCGAAGUGAGGGCCACUCAUCUCUAGAGCCAGCAUGGAGAAUGGUGCUGUCUACCCACGCAGAUUCACUUCCAGACCCCUGGAAAAUAAAUACACCCAUCUCACAAAGUAUUGCGUCCUGCCAUGGAUCCCAGCCUUGACAGUGGUCUUGCACAACACCAAGCUGCUGCAUUGGAUCAACCUUUUCUUUUUUUUUUUUAAUCUUGUCUUGUUAAUAUUUGUGACUAUAUUUGUCCCCUUCCUUUGAACUGUAUCUUCUCAAGUCGGGCGAAUUACAGCACAGCAUGUCAUGUCAGGCAUAAAGUGUGGAAACAUGACAAUAUUAAUGGAAUGGAAUGGAAUAUUGUUUGAUAGGCUCCAGGGGAAAGACACUUAAUGUAAAAUCUAAAAAUAAAAAUUUUAAAAAGUGA
Long non-coding RNA from Dromaius novaehollandiae (emu), 741 nucleotides. RefSeq lists it as uncharacterized. The transcript has 2 exons. The record is from RefSeq and is a predicted model, not a curated record. NCBI's taxonomy places the organism in Eukaryota, Metazoa, Chordata, Aves, Casuariiformes, Dromaiidae.